AGUUAUUAAUUUAUUAUAAGUUGUAUUUUGAAAAUACAAAAAGGAGAGUAAAUUAGACUCCAUUAACUU
Molecule: transfer RNA, 69 nt
Filed under: Arisubathynella cheongmiensis
Lineage: Eukaryota; Metazoa; Arthropoda; Malacostraca; Bathynellacea; Parabathynellidae
Description: tRNA-Ser
Source: RNAcentral